Molecule: long non-coding RNA, 201 nt
Filed under: Eucalyptus grandis
Lineage: Eukaryota; Viridiplantae; Streptophyta; Magnoliopsida; Myrtales; Myrtaceae
Description: long non-coding RNA (EGRA_LNC007792)
Source: RNAcentral
GAGCGUUCGUUAUAUCAAAUGGCUUUACAUUAUUCUCACAAGGGCUAAAUCAAGUGCGAAGUGUUGUCUUCAGUAUAACCUCCUUCCUGGUUCUCUACUGACGAUAACCUGUCCUCAAGUCGAUCCUUGAAGACAUCAACACUCUUUAUAAUAAGUCACCCAAUUAAGUUGACAAUGGUUGAUGCAUGAUUGCAAUGAACC